RNAcentral lists this ribosomal RNA (403 nucleotides) under uncultured bacterium. RNAcentral describes it as "bacterial SSU rRNA". It matches the Rfam family "Bacterial small subunit ribosomal RNA", at positions 355 to 775 of the family's 1533-position model. The record is from RNAcentral.
UAGGGAAUAUUAGAAAUGGACGAAAGUCUGAUCUAGCAACACCGCGUGUGCGAAGAAGGCCUUCGGGUCGUAAAGCACUUUUUGGAAGGAAUAGGAAGGAAUGUACUUCCAGAAUAAGUCUCGGCUAGCUACGUGCCAGCAGCCGCGGUAACACGUAGGAGGCAAACGUUAUCCGGAUUUACUGGGCGUAAAGCGCGUGUAGGUGGUACUGUAAGUAGGGCGUGAAAGCUCCUGGCUCAACUGGGAGAGGCCGUUCUAAACUACAGAACUAGAGAAUGGUAGAGGGAGGUGGAAUUCCAGGUGUAGCGGUGGAAUGCGCAGAUAUCUGGAGGAACACCGGUGGCGAAGGCGGCCUCCUGGACCAUUCCUGACACUCAGACGCGAAAGCUAGAGUAGCAAACGG